RNAcentral lists this ribosomal RNA (462 nucleotides) under uncultured bacterium. RNAcentral's name for it is "bacterial SSU rRNA". It matches the Rfam family "Bacterial small subunit ribosomal RNA", at positions 337 to 792 of the family's 1533-position model. The record is from RNAcentral.
UCCUACGGGGGGCAGCAGUCGAGAAUUUUUCACAAUGGGCGCAAGCCUGAUGGAGCGACGCCGCGUGGGGGAUGAAUGGCUUCGGCCCGUAAACCCCUGUCAUUUGCGAUCAAACGUUAUUAUUUAAAAGAUGAUGACCUGAUGGUAGCGAAAGAGGAAGGGACGGCUAACUCUGUGCCAGCAGCCGCGGUAAUACAGAGGUCCCAAGCGUUGUUCGGAUUCACUGGGCGUAAAGGGUGCGUAGGUGGUGGGGUAAGUCGGAUGUGAAAUCUCGGAGCUCAACUCCGAAAUGGCAUUGGAAACUGCCCUGCUUGAGGGUCGGAGGGGGGACUGGAAUACUUGGUGUAGCAGUGAAAUGCGUAGAUAUCAAGUGGAACACCAGUGGCGAAGGCGAGUCCCUGGACGACUCCUGACACUGAGGCACGAAAGCUAGGGGAGCAAACAGGAUUAGAUACCCCCGUA